GUCCCCAUCGUCUAGUCGGUUAGGACACCGGCCUUUCACGCUGGUAACAGGGGUUCGAGUCCCCUUGGGGACGCCA
This 76-nucleotide transfer RNA is filed under the name Planctomycetales bacterium. RNAcentral describes it as "tRNA-Glu". It matches the Rfam family "tRNA". From Rfam's summary of the family: Transfer RNA (tRNA) molecules are approximately 80 nucleotides in length. Their secondary structure includes four short double-helical elements and three loops (D, anti-codon, and T loops). The record is from RNAcentral. Lineage: Bacteria; Pseudomonadati; Planctomycetota; Planctomycetia; Planctomycetales.